Ochlerotatus camptorhynchus is the source of this 3614-nucleotide RNA transcript. RefSeq lists it as uncharacterized. NCBI's taxonomy places the organism in Eukaryota, Metazoa, Arthropoda, Insecta, Diptera, Culicidae. The transcript is spliced from 7 exons. The record is from RefSeq and is a predicted model, not a curated record.
AUUAUGGGAAAAUCUCCGUGAAGUCUCUUGUCUUUUUACUUUACUGAUGGAGUGAGUGAGUUUUUGUGAAGCACAAGAAGAAAAAUCUAUCCCGCAGCCGAUUUGGCAGAAAAUCGAAACAGAGAAGGGUGGAAAGUUUCGGCAAAAUAUUUACCUACAGAAAUUGGUGUCGUUCAAUGUGAGGUGCGAUACAAUUGUGAAAUCCCUUGGGAUUUACUGUGAGAGCUGCUGCUACACAGCAGUAAAGGAAAAUCGAUCCACUCUGUGUGUGUUCGAGGGAAGAAAAGUUGGGUUUUCCAACGAAUGCUGCUCGCGUAGCAGGUGCUAGCGAAAUUGGGUUAACGUGAAAAAGUCUUCUUUUUGCUCCCUGUGGCAAAAUAUCAGUAUUUGUGGAAUUGAUCUAAGAAAAGAAGCAUCAGACAGAUGACUUGAAGAUGAAAUAAACGCUCAGGAUAAUUGUCCGUAGGCAAUAUAUUGAUGGAUGAAACUUCACGUCGGAGUUGUGAAAUUCAAUUGGGUAAAACUUCGAAGUAAAGAAAUGUGUAUUUCUCGAUAUGCUUGCACGUGCCAGUUGCUCUCGGUGUCGUCGUAAAAUGUGAUCAAAACUCGUUUCUUGCUUGAGAAAGGAUAAGUCAGUCGCUUUAGCAGUAGAGUGAGAAAGUAGAAUUUCUCAUAAAUAUCUGAGCAAAAAAAAGUGCGAACCCAGAAUUCCGAAGGAAUCUCAUUCGGGCUUUUGACUGCCAACGACAACAACGAAUCGAAAAAGAACAACCAAGGUGAAGCUAUUGUCGUUUGUUGCUGAUUCAUUCUUUGUCAAAGGUGAUUCGUCGAAUUAGGUUUUUGAGACGGAAUACGGAACAGAAAACUGUUGAUUUGGAUUAUACCAAGUACAAGGACGCAAAGCAGCAGCAUACUAGCCAUAGCCGAAUCGUAAUUCCCGGCACAACACAGCACAACACACUCCGCAAAAAUGCACUCAGUUGGCAUACAUUCGGCGCUGGCCAUCAAACGGCAGCGGAAGCGGCGGGACAAUCAGCGCAAAGCCCGCGAACGGCGCUACAGUGUGCAGAGCUCCGAGAGUGGCGAUACGCACUCGCCCCAUGGCUCGACACGCCGGAAGUUCCACCCGCAUAAGGUGCACACCGCCGACAACAAUAAUCUGUUAGAUACGAAAGUAGUCACAAGCAUUGGUAUGCUACACAUAGGCGUGGUAUUCCUAGUGUUCGGAAUCUUUUUACUAGGAGCUGGAUUUUUUCCAGAUAAUCUAUCAAAUCAACCGUCACAAUCGUGGCACCUACUGGGAAAAGGUUCCUGGUGGAACGAACUGAUAUGCACGGGAUUGUUCGCCGUCGGUCUUGGCAUCUUUCUAAUCAUAUUAAACUGUGUGAUAAGCAAUCGGGAGGAACAGGACCUCGAGAGCUACGUCCAACGGCAGCUGACCCGAUCGAGAUCCGGCCAUCGAUUAGAGCGUGACGUUGAGACAGGUGGUCUGACGACACGCCACCACCGCAAAGCCAUGCAGAUACAGAAGGGCGCCGCCGAGAGGGGUCUCGACGAUCUCUCCAACUCGAACAUCCUGCUGACGCCAACCAGCAGCGAAGUGGUGACUCCGACGACUCCGUCCGGAGUCCUCGGAGCAUCCGGAGAAAUUUUAUUGGAGAAAAUCCUGGAAGAGGAUAGCAGCUACGGUGAUCCGGAUUAUUACACAAGAAAUAUAGGCCAAUCGCCGCCCGGCGUAGACAACGACAAGAAGUUGCUGCUCGGUAACGGUCACACCGGCGCCAUACAUAUGACCGAUAUUUAACUCCUCGGUGUUCCACCCAUUAAUAAUCAUCGCCGUCAUCGUCAUCGUCACCAAUAGCAGCAGCAGAAGCAGUAGCAACUUCAAAUGAUGUCAUCAUUGAACCGGUCAUCAACAUAAAGAUCAAAUUCUACAAGGAGUUGUUAAAUGGUCACCACCGUCAAGUCCAAUAUAUCCCAACAAUGCAACAAUAUUACGGUGCUCUCGCUACUUCCGAAAACCAUCAGCAGAAACAACUGAAGUAAAUCGCAACUGGUAACAACAACACACUAAUCUAAACUGUGGAUAAUUGAAUUCCGUUUUGAUACUCAUUUUCGUCGAAACUUUUGUUACUGUGUAAUAAAACAUUCGCUAGACAACUCGUCGAAUAUUUCUAACAUUAUACAUAUAAAUAGCUGUGUAUAGUACUAAAAGAAGUCACAAAAAUUUAGCCAUUUUUAUAAAAACUGUUUGAACAAAAGAAAAUUCAACACAAAAACAGAUGCUGUACAAGAAACCAAAUCCGUAGGUACAUGUAUUUAAUUUCAAAUUUUUGAUGUUCGUGACUAGAUGUCGUAUAUAUAUUAUUAUAACAAGCAUUGAAGACAAAUUUGAUCACAUGUUGAAAAGUACUUACAUUUCAGAGCUAUUUAACAAAGAAAAGAAGAAAAAACAAAAGUAAAAGAACGAACAACACAAAGAUGAUUAUGAAUACAACUAGAUAAAACUUUUAUUAAACAAUUUAAAAUUUAAUAGCGCAAAGUGUAACCGUUCGAAGCUAAGGAUCAGCUAAGCAAAUUUUUUAAAUGUGACAAAAGUAAGUGAAAAUCAAGGUAAUCUCUUCGCCACAUGCCAGUAAAUCGCCACGUACGCACGUCAGUUUAAAUAGGUACUCAUCGCACAUCAUAAUCAAACAGCAGAUAUGCCACGGAUCGUAAAUUGCUUGCAGUAUUUUUCAUAGGUUAUAUAAAGGUACACUCAAACGCACUUCGCAUUCAGACACAAACACAAGCACCCGUGACUCGAUUCACGAAUAUUCAUUAGUGGAAGUACUGUGUGAACAAUUUGUUUAGGAUCAAGCAAGGGGAAGAAAGGGCCGCCAGCUCUAUCCAACAGGUGUAGGCAUACCAUUUUGGAGCAUUAGUGCUGUAACAACAUUGUGAGCCGAAUUUGAAAUUAAUUAUCCUUUUGGUGGAAUUUAUCGCAGCUGCCGCUACUGCUGCGUUCCAUUGUUGGUUGAAGAACAGUUUUCCAAAGAAAAGCAAAGCUCCAUUUGCUUGUAGGUUGCAAACUUUGGGGAAAUAUUAAAUCUUAGGAAAUGCGAGAAAAUUGGAUUCGAAAUAAUACUGUAAUUUACCGCGGAAGAUUUCGAAACAGAACUUUUAGUUAUUUUUAAGAUACCAUCAAUAAUUAUUGACAAACUCAGCCAACAGAACUGGAAAAGUGUUAUAAAACGCUGAUUGCAAUUUAAAAAACUAGCCAACAAAUGUUUCCAAUCUUAAAUCUAGAUCAACAUUUGAAAUAGGCGGAACAACCAAACGUAAACAAUGGCUUUAAACGUCAAUUUCUCAAGAAUAAAAACACAGCUAAGCAAUCUAACAUUAGCAUCGACCCUUUAUCGAAUAGCAUUGUUAGAUUCUCGAGAAAUAUGUGUUUAAAGCCAUAGUUUACGUUUAGUUUUCCGCCUAUUUUGAUUAUUGCUCUAGAAAUACAGAAAAACUACUCCCAUAAGUGCUAAAUUUCCCAUCCCAGCUUUAUCAACACCCACAACAUAACUAGGCACAAAAAUUCUCACUAUUCCGUUUUCCUGCGCGUGACCUCGCAACGGGUGUGA